GUCAACUUGAUUGGGACUCUAAAAUGAAAGCUCUGGAAAUAAUAAACUUGCAGAAAUAAUCCGUGAAGCUGUCGCUUUCGUCCUCAAGAAUUUGAAAACAAUUCCAUAGCAGACCGUGUCCAUACACUGAUGAGAUUAAUUAAGGCGAACAAAAUCUGGAGCAAAGCAUGCUACUUAAGGGAUUCGAUCCUGCGUUGCUGGACCUAAUCGUUCCCCUUUGCAGCCGAAAGCAAAAGGAAUCGCGAUUUGCGAGACAGAAGCUCAAGUACUGCAUGGUUAGGGUUUAGAGAAUGGUACAUACAGGAAGCUUUCCGCAGUGACAAAAAGAAUAUCUUUGAUGUGGAGUUGUAUAGGAAGCUCCAAUACUGCAGGCAAUUUCUCCGUCAAAGUGAACAAGGAUGAAAACGAAAGUGCUACACGCGCUGCACAGAAUUUCUCUACUCCAUGUCCAUCAAUUGAUGCGAUUCUUUCACUUUGCUUGUAGUUGCAGGUUCACAGAUUUGGCAAAACUAGGGUUUUAACAUAAGGCGAAUCUUCCACUUAGGGUUUUUAAAGUAUUGUAUUCUUCGAAAUUAAAUGAUUCAAGGAUCCUCCAAAGUUAUGUUCAAUCAAUUUAAUU
Long non-coding RNA from Cryptomeria japonica (Japanese cedar), 619 nucleotides. RefSeq lists it as uncharacterized. The transcript has 3 exons. NCBI's taxonomy places the organism in Eukaryota, Viridiplantae, Streptophyta, Pinopsida, Cupressales, Cupressaceae. The record is from RefSeq and is a predicted model, not a curated record.